This 1347-nucleotide ribosomal RNA is filed under the name Allantus togatus. RNAcentral's name for it is "16S ribosomal RNA". Lineage: Eukaryota; Metazoa; Arthropoda; Insecta; Hymenoptera; Tenthredinidae. The record is from RNAcentral.
UUAAAUUAAAAAUUAUUAAAAAAAAUUAUUUUUUUUUUUUAUUAAUAAAAAUAUUUUUUAAUAAAAAUUGUUUUUGUAUAUUUUUAGAAAAAAUUUUUUUAAUUAAAUUAAAUUAGUAUAGUAAUAGAAUUUUGAAAAAUAACAUUUAUCUAUAAAUAUUUUAUAAUUAAGUAAAUUUUAUUUAUUGUACCUUGUGUAUCAGGGUUUUUUAAAAAUAUAAUAUUUAAUAAUAUUUUUCUCGAAUUAAAAGGAUUUAUUUUAUUAUUAUGAUUUUUAUUGUAAUAAAAAUAUUUUUAAUAUUAAAAUAGAAAUGAAAUGUUAUUCGUUUUUUAAGAUAUCUAGUUUUUUAAUAAAUGAAUUUAAUUCAGAUAUUAAUUUUAAAUUUUAAUUUUAUUUUAUAAUAAUAAAUUUAUUAAUAUUAAUAUUUUAAGGGAUAAGCUUUAAAGUAAAAUUUUAAAAUUUUUGUUAUUAAUAUAAAUAAUUAUAUAGACUUAGAAAUAGUUUUUAUUUAAAAAAUGUUAUAAUUUAAUUAUAAAAUAAUUUAAAAUUUAUUAAAUUAAAAUUUAAUAAUUUAUUAAAAUAAAUUAAUUAAUAAAAAAUUAAUUUGAAAUAAUGAUUAAAUUAGUAAAUUUUAAUUGUUUAGAUUAAUUAAUUAAUUAAUUAAUUUAAUUAAAGGAAUUCGGCAAAAUAUAUUCUCACCUGUUUAUCAAAAACAUGUCUUUUUGAAAUUAAUUUAAAGUCUAAUCUGCUCUAUGAUGAUAAAUUAAAUGGCCGCAGUAUUUUGACUGUGCAAAGGUAGCAUAAUAAUUAGUCUUUUAAUUGAGGGCUUGAAUGAAUGAUUGAAUGAAGAAUAAACUGUCUUAAUUAAUUUUUUGAAUUUAAUUUUUAAGUUAAAAAGCUUAGAUUUUUUUAGAGGACGAGAAGACCCUAUAGAAUUUUAUAAUAAAUUUAUUAAUUUAUAUUUAAAUUUUUUAUUUUAUUAAUUUAUUAUUUUAUUGGGGCGAUAAGAAAAUUAAUAAAACUUUUUUAAAAAAUUUUUCAUUGAUUUAUGAAUAAAAGAUCUUAAAUUUUAGAUAAUUAGAUUAAAUUACCUUAGGGAUAACAGCGUAAUUUUUUUUAGAGUUCUUAUUUAUAAAAAAGAUUGCGACCUCGAUGUUGGAUUAAAAUUUAAUUUAGGUGAAGAAGCUUAAAUUUUAGGUCUGUUCGACCUUUAAAAUUUUACAUGAUCUGAGUUCAAACCGGUGUGAGCCAGGUUGGUUUCUAUCCUUAAAUAAAAUAAAAUUUUUAGUACGAAAGGACCAUAAUUUUGAAAUAAUUUUUAAUUAAAAUUGAAUUUUAUUAAUUAAU